Molecule: long non-coding RNA, 1378 nt
Organism: Falco peregrinus (peregrine falcon)
Lineage: Eukaryota; Metazoa; Chordata; Aves; Falconiformes; Falconidae
Exons: 5
Source: RefSeq, a predicted model, not a curated record
AAACAAUUAGACAUUUGAGUUUAUUUUUUGUUUAUGUAAAAUAGUAAAUACGCCGUUGGGUCAGCCUUUCCUUUUUUUCCCUCAGAGGAAAAUGGAAAUAAACUUUUUGUCAAGAGUUAUGCCACCCUAAAAAACGGGCCACGUUGCAGGCUUGGGAGAAUGGAGAAGACCUUGCAUAUGCUUUUGCAAACUCUUUUGUGAAUUUAUAGCAGCAUGGAUCCUCCUCCAGCCCUGCCAUUUACUCAGAACACCUGCACACUGAGAGAAGAGUGACUCAGAGCCAAGUCCUCAGCUGCAGAAAGGCGGUAAGAUCCAUGUGCUUGCAGGAAAGUGAUCACUGAUGCCAACAAGGCUUCCUGGCACAAAUGGCAUGUGUCCAGCUCGGCUGGUGCCUCCAGCCACAGGGAGCAGCUUUGGGUCCCUCUUGCCUGGGAUAAACAAACACAACAGCAAGCUCCAGAAGAAAUAGGAAACCCAGACCAAAGAACGAGACCACACAUCAAAUAAACUCUUAACAAGCCUGGUGCAACGACAUCCUGAUCCAUGAGUGGACUUCUUUAGCAAUACUGCAAUAUGAUUAACAGAUCUUUCCUUUUGUGCCAAGAAUGGUAUGGGGCCAAAGGAAAAUGGCAGAAUACAAGAAAAAAAAUGCCUAUGGAGAAAGAAGAGGAAUCCAGAGUGUGCCUACUCUUUGUGUUGUGGUGAUUAGAUUUCUACUGAUGUAAGUGGUUUUGAAUUAAGCAGUUGGUGGUCGAUAUAAAAACGUAGUCAGAGAGAUGGAAAUAAUUAUUUUAAAACCCUAGAUGGUUAUGCUGCAAGAUGAUUUCUCUUACAAGUCUCUGUUUUUAUGGAUUUAUGACUGCAUGAAGGAAAGUUCUUCCACAUCUGAACCUUACAAGCUUGGCACUUUUGCUGCUGAAGUCUUGAUUUCACAUCUGUAUGUAGUCCUACAGCACUGAGUGGAUCCCCUUCUGGGUGUGGAGAUAUACUUCGUUGGACCAUGGGAAAAUAUCUGUAUUUAGUAGGUGAUGCUCCAGAUGUAUUAGAACCUCGUGGUUUAGGAUGGGACAGACCUUUCCAAAAGAAGCAUGUACUAAAGGUCAAAGUCUUGUCUACAAAAACACAUCUGAAAGCUCCAAGCUGUUGACCCAUACAACCAGCUUGAUAGAAAAUGCUACAAGCAGUCACUGGAGGAAGAUGAGAAGCUUCUGCCAGACACCAGAUGAAAGCAGGCUAGCUCUUCAGGCAAAGCAUACACUUUUAUAAACAUUUAGUCAAGUGUUACUGUUUUCAGUCACAGCUGCUUGGGUAACUCCCUAUAACCCUCAUAAUUAUUUUCUGUCUUUCUGAAGAAGUCAGUAAGGAAAAAAGUGGUGGG